RNAcentral lists this transfer RNA (76 nucleotides) under Leptolyngbyaceae cyanobacterium CAN_BIN12. RNAcentral describes it as "tRNA-Asn". It matches the Rfam family "tRNA". Rfam says of the family: Transfer RNA (tRNA) molecules are approximately 80 nucleotides in length. Their secondary structure includes four short double-helical elements and three loops (D, anti-codon, and T loops). The record is from RNAcentral. Lineage: Bacteria; Bacillati; Cyanobacteriota; Cyanophyceae; Leptolyngbyales; Leptolyngbyaceae.
UGUCUUGUAGCUCAGCGGUAGUAGCGAUCGCCUGUUAAGCGAGAGGUCGUGGGUUCGAUCCCCACCAAGGCAGCCA